Molecule: ribosomal RNA, 292 nt
Filed under: uncultured bacterium
Lineage: Bacteria
Description: partial 16S ribosomal RNA
Rfam family: Bacterial small subunit ribosomal RNA
Source: RNAcentral
AAUAACACGAGGAAACUUGUGCUAAUACCGGAUAAGUCUUUACGGAGAAAGCUUUAUGCACCAUUGGAUGAGCCUGCACUUGAUUAGUUUGUUGGUGGGGUAAUGGCCUACCAAGACUGUGAUCAAUAGCUGAUUUGAGAGGAUGAUCAGCCACAUUGGGACUGAGACACGGCCCAAACUCCUACGGGAGGCAGCAGUGGGGAAUCUUGCACAAUGGAGGAAACUCUGAUGCAGCGAUGCCGCGUGAGUGAAGAAGGCCUUUGGGUUGUAAAGCUCUUUCGUCGGGGAAGAA